CGCGGCGUAGCUCAAUAGGAUAGAGCGCCUUGCUUCGACAUACUGAACUGAGUGGAAUCUGUAUGGUAUGGGCAAGGGGGUUGUAGGUUCAAGUCCUACCGCCGUUU
Molecule: transfer RNA, 107 nt
Filed under: Cellvibrio sp. QJXJ
Lineage: Bacteria; Pseudomonadati; Pseudomonadota; Gammaproteobacteria; Cellvibrionales; Cellvibrionaceae
Description: tRNA-OTHER
Rfam family: tRNA
About the family: Transfer RNA (tRNA) molecules are approximately 80 nucleotides in length. Their secondary structure includes four short double-helical elements and three loops (D, anti-codon, and T loops).
Source: RNAcentral